GGAGUGAAAAUGACGUAGAAUACACAAAAUAUUGUAGAGAAAUCAGUGAUUGCUGAGACGGAAUCUGGAAAUAUCAUAGAAAAUGCGAAAAUUGUUCC
Ipomoea nil (Japanese morning glory) is the source of this 98-nucleotide long non-coding RNA. RefSeq lists it as uncharacterized. The transcript is spliced from 3 exons. The record is from RefSeq and is a predicted model, not a curated record. Lineage: Eukaryota; Viridiplantae; Streptophyta; Magnoliopsida; Solanales; Convolvulaceae.